UUGCCCAAUGAUUAUAGCAAGACGCGUUAUUAUGAGGACUAAUGCUGGAACUCUUUCUCCUCCUCCUCAUUCUCCUCCUCCUUUGUCCCUUCCUCUUUCACCUUUUACCCUCCCCCCCUCACUUUCCUUAGGGUAUCCAGCGUCCUAUGAGCAAGACUGAGAUAUGAGGGCAA
Small nucleolar RNA from Catharus ustulatus (Swainson's thrush), 173 nucleotides. NCBI's taxonomy places the organism in Eukaryota, Metazoa, Chordata, Aves, Passeriformes, Turdidae. The record is from Ensembl.